GACGAACGCUGGCGGCGUGCUUAACACAUGCAAGUCGAACGGUAAGGCCCUGCUUUUGUGGGGUGCUCGAGUGGCGAACGGGUGAGUAACACGUGAGUAACCUGCCCUUGACUUUGGGAUAACUUCAGGAAACUGGGGCUAAUACCGGAUAGGAGCUCCUGCUGCAUGGUGGGGGUUGGAAAGUUUCGGCGGUUGGGGAUGGACUCGCGGCUUAUCAGCUUGUUGGUGGGGUAGUGGCUUACCAAGGCUUUGACGGGUAGCCGGCCUGAGAGGGUGACCGGCCACAUUGGGACUGAGAUACGGCCCAGACUCCUACGGGAGGCAGCAGUGGGGAAUAUUGCACAAUGGGCGGAAGCCUGAUGCAGCAACGCCGCGUGCGGGAUGACGGCCUUCGGGUUGUAAACCGCUUUCGCCUGUGACGAAGCGUGAGUGACGGUAAUGGGUAAAGAAGCACCGGCUAACUACGU
Molecule: ribosomal RNA, 467 nt
Filed under: uncultured bacterium
Lineage: Bacteria
Description: partial 16S ribosomal RNA
Rfam family: Bacterial small subunit ribosomal RNA
Source: RNAcentral